AACAGAGGACCCAGAAGCCUGAGUCUGAUGAAGCAAGAUUUUGCUGAUACACUCCUAGCAACAAAGGGUUGGAGAGACAAGCCCUUAUUUGGGGGCGGGAUCACAGGGCUGACUGUAUUACCCAACAUUA
Molecule: non-coding RNA, 130 nt
Organism: Rattus norvegicus (Norway rat)
Lineage: Eukaryota; Metazoa; Chordata; Mammalia; Rodentia; Muridae
Product: small Cajal body-specific RNA 4
Source: Ensembl